AUGCGGGGCCAUCGCCGGCAGGAUCAAGGGGAGGUCUGCCACCUCCUCCACAUCAGGGACUUGCACCACCACCAGCUCUCGUCGGCGGCGAGUAGCGGGUCUCGUUGGACUGAUGGAGAGCUCAAGCUGACGGAGAAGGCGCUGCGGGCUCCGCACGUGGUUCACCUCGUACGAGCCCACGCAGGACUACCACGUGUGCUAUCGCUUCCACCACGAGUUCAACAUGGCCUUGUUCCACUACCACAAAGAGACUCGCUUCUGCCGUGGCCCGCCGCUCCACAAGACAACACCCGCGCGCGAGUCGCUCGUGGGAGCAUGCCUCAACAUCAGAUCCUUCUUAAGUUCAAAAAAAAAAACAUCAGAUCCUUCAAGGUACGCGAAUCGGACGUCGGCUUCCCGAUCAACGUGUUUGGCACCGUCGUCGCAAGGGACUCGGUGGACUAUAGAUGCGUCUAUCUCUUUAGGCGUCACAGGGACGAUCCCCAACUCAUCACCUCCCCGGAUGAUAUGAUAUCUUUGUCGGACCCAUGUCGAGCGCUAGUUCCGCAGAGUAGGCUUCAUUUCGAGAUCAAUUUGAAGAUCAAGUGCAAUGGAGGGGCGGAUCAAGAUUUUAGCAAAUGCUUGCAAGAAUUCGAUUCGGUCCGCCUCGCUACAGGAAAGGAGACCAUGACCCUCGGUCUAGAUAGUUAUCUGAGUAGGCUGGAGUUGUCAUGUGUGCAGGUUUACGCACCCGUGGAAGCCACCUUUGCCAUCAAUGUUCUAAAGGGCCCGUGUAAUAUCUCGAGAGUAGUCGUUGCGACUCGAGGAAACUUUAGUGAUCGUAGAAUCCUAUACGAAGCAACGGGCGACAAUAUAGUGAUUGGUGACGGUGCUUCCGUUCCGUUGACUCGUCGUGUGGUAGCCGUCCCACGGGAUCAGAAGCUGGCGCUCUUUCUUGUCGGCGGCGACGACGUACUUGGACACCUUGCCCUCACUCUUGGUCAUUCUGACGAAGUGGUCAACUGGAUGAUUAAUGUAUUUAUUGAGAUUAAUGUAUGA
Molecule: ribosomal RNA, 1038 nt
Filed under: Triticum aestivum (bread wheat)
Lineage: Eukaryota; Viridiplantae; Streptophyta; Magnoliopsida; Poales; Poaceae
Description: partial small subunit ribosomal RNA
Source: RNAcentral